This 253-nucleotide ribosomal RNA is filed under the name uncultured bacterium. RNAcentral's name for it is "partial 16S ribosomal RNA". It matches the Rfam family "Bacterial small subunit ribosomal RNA", at positions 524 to 776 of the family's 1533-position model. The record is from RNAcentral.
UACGAAGGCCACGAGCGUUGUUCGGAAUUACUGGGCUUAAAGCGAGUGUAGGCGGUGGCAUAAGUCAGAUGUGAAAGCCCUGGGCUUAACCCGGGAACUGCAUUUGAUACUGUGUCGCUGGAGUGCGGUAGAGGAGAGUGGAAUUCCUGGUGUAGGAGUGAAAUCCGUAGAUAUCAGGAGGAAUACCAAUGGCGUAGGCAACUCUCUGGCCCGUUACUGACGCUGAGACUCGAAAGCGUGGGGAGCAAACAGG